AAAAAAAUGUCGGCCUCUGCAUCGGAAUCAACUUCUCCGCCUGGGGAUGGUGACGGUAAUCUUGUGCUUUGCAUGGUAUGCGGUGCCCCCUUCCAGAGUACGCAGGAUUGCCUUGCCCACGCGCUGCUCAAGCAUGGCAGCAAGCUCCAGAAGCAUCUGCGAAAGCGAUUGAACGCCAUUACCACGAUAUUUAACAGCGCACAAAGCCAAUCCGAACGCCAUGAGCUGCGGGAGGCUCUUGAAAAGUCCAAGCCCGGCGGGCACCUGCGCACCGUAUUGAAUUUCUUUGCUGUUGAUCUCGAAAAGAUGAAAACCUGCUUCGAGCACGUCCGCAACUGCAUAGAGAAGAAGAUGAAGGGCAAGGUUAGGGUGUUCCCCUUUGGUUCACUGGUUACUGGUUUAGCAUUGAAGGAGAGCGACCUCGAUUUGUUUCUGGAGCCCAACGGCAACCAGCCACCAUUGUUCCAUCAGCAUCUAUACAACACGACCUCAUACUUUUUACGAAGUUCCAAAUGCUUUGCAGAUGUGUACACCAUUCGUCAUGCCAGCGUGCCCAUCAUUAGAUGUAAGCAUCAGCUCACCGGACUCAACAUAGACUUCAAUAUGUCAAAUCCGAAUGGCACAUUUAACUCCCGAUUUGUGGGCGAACUGAUGCUUCGCAAUGAGCGGAUACGCGAGCUCAGCUUGUUUUUGAAAAUCUGGGCCAAGAAGCUAAAAUUGAUUUGCAAUGGCGGCAUGACAAGCUAUUGCUUAAUAUCCUUGAUCAUCGUAAACUUGCAAGUGAAUCGAAUAGUUCCAUCCGUCAAACAGCUCCAGUCAUUCUGUCCACCGGUUAUUUUGUCGGGCGUUAACUUUGCCUACAGCCUGGACCUAACGCCGCCGAUUACAGAACGGCUCACCACGCUGGAUUUACUUAAAAACUUCUUCAUAUACUACAGCACUGUCAACUUUGACAAAAGUUUAUUGAGUCCGUUUCUGGGCGGCUGUGUGGACAAGGAGACAACACUGGGCAUACCGGGAGGGUUUCCCGAGUACGAUGAGCAACAGAAGCUCGUGCAUGAUGCAACAGGUGCGCCGCCACAUGCUUUCCAGCUGGAUAGAGUUAUGUGCGUACAGGAUCCCUUCGAGCUGAACCGCAACGUGGCCAAAUCAGUGUCCGUUGCAAAUUUAUUUUACUUUAGACAAUGCCUAGUCCUGGCUGCUCAAGCAUGCAGCGAUCAGGAACUAACUUCGCAACCAGAGAAGCUAUACGACUACCUAUUAUUUGGCCUGGCGGAUAAGUUAGUAGCCGACAAAAUAGUGGCAGAUAAAAGAUCAGAUUAGUGGCCCACCACAAACGAUCUCAAAUGCCUGCGCUCCGUUUUGCUGGCCAUCAAAACAGAGAAUGGUCAGGGCAUAUAUUAUACUACUGGUUGGUCUGCUAAUCAGCACUUCUUACGACACUUGGACAGGACGCACUUUCCAGCGUGGCGCCGGUCAAUCUUUCUUCGCCCACCAGUUGCAGCAGACGAUUGAGUUUACGAAGACGAGAAUGUACGCAAUAACAAGGCUUUUUAAAGCGUUUAAGAAUCUACUGGGCAACUUUAGUUUCAAAGAGAAGGCCAGCACCUGGAAGUUUUGCGCCACGUCUGACCAAAUCUGA
This is an RNA transcript of Drosophila sechellia, 1642 nucleotides long. RefSeq lists it as uncharacterized. NCBI's taxonomy places the organism in Eukaryota, Metazoa, Arthropoda, Insecta, Diptera, Drosophilidae. The record is from RefSeq and is a predicted model, not a curated record. The transcript has a single exon.